UAGGAGCUUGCACAGAUCCAACACUCGGGGA
RNAcentral lists this non-coding RNA (31 nucleotides) under Mus musculus (house mouse). Lineage: Eukaryota; Metazoa; Chordata; Mammalia; Rodentia; Muridae. The record is from RNAcentral.